CUGCGCGGACGCGCGGCAGAAGGUGAAGGAGCAGGAGGCGCGCCACCGCCGCACCGUGGAGCGCACCAGCGCGGCCGGCCGGCGCUCCCAGCGCGCCCACAGAUGGUAAAGGGUGGAGUUACCUUCAUCAUCCCCAGAAAGCAGAGGAAAGGAGGAGGGAUUGAAGUAAAACAUAGAGGAAUCUCGUUUGUUCCGACCCCCCUCCCCGCAAUCCCUCACUAUAUAGAGUGUGGUCUUCAACCAGCAACUCACCAGAAACACAGAAUCUUGGUCCUUCCCAAACCCCAAAGCACAUCUUUAAUUUAACCAAAUCACACCUCAUUGUUUAGCCUCUGGCUUUCCUGACCAUGAUUUCACCAGUCAGCAGAAACCACUAGGUGCUCAGACAAAGGGGAUUUAACAGAGAACUGGUUGAAGCUUGACGUCGUUACAGUGUGUCAACUAAGAACACAGAGCAGACAGUCACCCCUCUGCCAUCACAGGGUAGGGGAGUCUCCAUAUCUCUGGGGCCUAGAUUGUCUGGUGGAAGCCAGAGCCCACCAAUCUCUGCUAGAAAACAGAACAGAGAGGACCCUCUGCUUAGGGAGACGGAGGUAAAAUACCCUAUUCCUGUGGCCUAAUGUCCCUGUGGCUUUGGCUCCUGGAAGCCAAAUGCAGAGGCUUUGGGAACCAGAGGAGAGAGACCUGGGUGAGUCUAAAACAGGCCAGUGGCCAGGCCCUGCGAUUUCUAAAACUCUCCUAAUACCUGUCAAACUUCAGGGUCCUGUUUCUAGGCUAAUGUUCACAGGUGAAUUGUGUACAUCCAGAUUCAUACAUUGAAAUCCUAAGCCCCAGAAUUUCAUGUGGCACUGUAUGUAGAGGUAGAAUCUUUGAAGAGGUAGGUAAAAUGAGAUCACAGGAGUGGGCUCCAGCCCAAGGAGGAUCGGCGCCCUUCAUAGGACACAGACGUGCACAGAGGGACGGCCAUGUGAGGACACACAAGAUGUUCCCAACAUCAGGGAGAACAGUCUCUGAUGACACAGCCAACCCUGCCCACACCUCCAUCUUGGACUUGCAGACUGUGAGGAAAUGAUUCCUGUUGUCUCAGUGACCCAGCAUGCAGUGCAGACCUAGCGGUUGGACACAUCGCCCCACCAGGCUUGAGUGCGUCUUUGCUCCAGCUCUGGCCCAGUAUUCAUUUCUUCCCUGAGAAUCCUGCCCGUCCUCUGGUGUCAGCCACCCCCUCACAGGGAGGCUUUCUUCUUGCAGGCCCCAGUGCCAGGUCCUUCCCUUCCGCACACAUCUCCUUGCCAACUUUUCCUGCCUCCACCUCUUAGAUGUUUCUACAGCACUUUCAUGAAACCCUCCUUCCACCCCACCACCACACAUUUCAUCUUUUAGGUCCAGUUUCCCAAUCUGAUCUCCUAGGAACUAGCAAGACAGCCAUUUUAAAAGUUCCCUUCACCACGUCCUACCGCUGUGUCAUGUGACUCUAAAAGCGCAACUCUAAGGCCAGGCUUGGUGGCGCACGCCUUUGGUUCCAGCACUUGGGUGGCAGA
Nannospalax galili (Upper Galilee mountains blind mole rat) is the source of this 1538-nucleotide long non-coding RNA. RefSeq lists it as uncharacterized. The transcript has 3 exons. Lineage: Eukaryota; Metazoa; Chordata; Mammalia; Rodentia; Spalacidae. The record is from RefSeq and is a predicted model, not a curated record.